Unclassified non-coding RNA from Oncorhynchus kisutch (coho salmon), 299 nucleotides. It matches the Rfam family "Metazoan signal recognition particle RNA". From Rfam's summary of the family: The signal recognition particle (SRP) is a universally conserved ribonucleoprotein. It is involved in the co-translational targeting of proteins to membranes. NCBI's taxonomy places the organism in Eukaryota, Metazoa, Chordata, Actinopteri, Salmoniformes, Salmonidae. The record is from Ensembl.
GCCGGGUGCGGUGGCAUGUGCCUGUAAUCCAAGUCACUGGGAGGCUGAGGUUGGUGGAUCAAGUGAGCUGAGGAGCUCUGGGCUGCAGCACACUAUGUUGAACGGGUGUCCACGCUAAGUUCGGUAUCGAUAUGGUGUUCCAGGGGGAGCCCGGGACCACCAGGUUGUCUAAGGAGGGGUGAACCGGCCCAGGUCGGAAACGAAGCAGGUCAAAUCCCCCGUGCUGUCCAGUAGUGGGAUAAUACCUGUGAGUAGAUGCUGCAGUGCAGCCUUGGCGAAACAUCGAGACCUAAUCUUUC